GCUUGCUGUAAUUUCAAGGCUCUUUCGGCUGAAGCAAGCAUUGAUGCUACAAGAACGCUCCACGAUACCAUCGAAAUCCAUCUCAGAACCCUCCGUUUCGCUCCGAUUUCCGCCAUUCCUCUCUCCCUUGUAAAACGACCUGAAAAAGGCAAUCGAAAUGCGCCGGUGAAGGGAAUUUAGUUUCGAAGAGAUCCAAGCGAGACAGGAGUCCUGUUUGGUUGCCGAGAAACCCGACGAAAAUAGGAGAGAGAGAGAGAGAGAGAGAGAGCUGAAGAUCCUUGUGUCACUGCGAGGAGAGUGACGUGCGGCGACGAUCCGAGAAAGUUUCUGAGACAAGAGGCCUUCCCAUUUUACUGUAUUUCUUUCUUUCCUUUUUCAAGAAAGGCGCAAAACGUGCGGUAAUACAUUGAUUGUGAUUUGUGAACAAAACAACUUGCGGGGCUCACUUCGGAUCCUUCACAAAUGAUGUCAAUCGUCUCACUCAUGCACUAUCAUUUGUGCGGGAUUCAAAAAUAGACCGUACACGCCAAUCCGUGCAUUACACUCACAACAAAUUUUAAAUUAAUUUUAUUUGUCUAAGAAAUGAAUCACUUCAAUAAUAUAAAAAAAAUGGCCGGUAGGAAAAAAAUAAUAGAAAAAUGUGAGCACAACAAUAAAAGAUAUGACCUUUAAAACGUGACCCUCACCACAACAAAAUUACAAAAAUAUCAUUGUUGGAAUAUGACCAUUGUAAUAUAGCCAUUGAAUUAUGAGUGUUACAAAAAUAUGACCGUUAAAAAAGUAUAGUAUUUGAAAAAUAGUAUGAAAAUAUAUAAAGAAAAGGGAUAAACAAUUAUUUAAGUAAAAAAGAUAAAAAAAAAUUAAAUGGAAAUUAUUUGUAGAGAAUAGAAUUAAAGUAGAAAGUCUAGUGCAAUAUGAGUUCAAAAAUAACUUGGCUAAAGUAGAAAAGUGCUCUUUUUAAGUACUUCUGUUGAGUGGAUGGGUGCAUAUACUCGAGAGGUGUAUGUAACCGGUUCUUCAAAAUUUUAAAAAGGUCUCUCUCUAGUAUCGUGUGCAAUUACUAAGAGAGUACAAUCACAAAAAAAGAAAAAGCAAAACACAACACUGAAUAAUUUUAUUGCUCAAG
Long non-coding RNA from Rhododendron vialii, 1126 nucleotides. RefSeq lists it as uncharacterized. The transcript is spliced from 2 exons. The record is from RefSeq and is a predicted model, not a curated record. Lineage: Eukaryota; Viridiplantae; Streptophyta; Magnoliopsida; Ericales; Ericaceae.